AUUGAACGCUGGCGGCAGGCCUAACACAUGCAAGUCGAACGGUAACAGGAAGCAGCUUGCUGCUUUGCUGACGAGUGGCGGACGGGUGAGUAAUGUCUGGGAAACUGCCUGAUGGAGGGGGAUAACUACUGGAAACGGUAGCUACUACCGCAUAACGUCGCAAGACCAAAGAGGGGGACCUUCGGGCCUCUUGCCAUCGGAUGUGCCCAGAUGGGAUUAGCUAGUAGGUGGGGUAAAGGCUCACCUAGGCGACGAUCCCUAGCUGGUCUGAGAGGAUGACCAGCCACACUGGAACUGAGACACGGUCCAGAGUCCUACGGGAGGCAGCAGUGGGGAAUAUUGCACAAUGGGCGCAAGCCUGAUGCAGCCAUGCCGCGUGUAUGAAGAAGGCCUUCGGGUUGUAAAGUACUUUCAGCGGUGAGGAAGGGAUUAAAGUUAAUACCUUGGCUGAUUGACGUUACCCGCAGAAGAAGCACCGGCUAACUCCGUG
RNAcentral lists this ribosomal RNA (490 nucleotides) under uncultured bacterium. Its description in RNAcentral is "partial 16S ribosomal RNA". It matches the Rfam family "Bacterial small subunit ribosomal RNA", at positions 30 to 507 of the family's 1533-position model. The record is from RNAcentral.